GAAGAGGAGAAGAAGAAGAAGAGGAAGAGAAGAGGAAGAGGAAGCAGGGGAAGAGGUUGUGAUACCUCUGUUUCCUGCAGAGGAAACAGAGGAGAGGGUGUGGGUGACGUCGGGGAGAAGAAGGGGAGGAAGGAGAAGAAGAGAAGAAGAAGAAAGGAAGGAAAAGGAAGAGGAGAAGGGAAGAAAGUAGCUGCGGCUGCGGUUGUGGCAGCUGCAGCUGUGGCAGGGAAAGAAGAAGAGAAAGGAAGAAGGGGAGGAGAGGAAGAAGAGUAGGGGCUGCGGCUGCGGCGAUGGCAGCUGCAGUUGGAAGAGAAGAAGGAGAGGAAGAUGAGCAGGGGAGGAAGAAAAGGCUGUGGCCGUGGCUGAGGCUGCGACUGCAGCAUGCAGCUGGGAAAGAAGAGAAGGAAAGGAAGAAGAAGAGAAAGGAAGAAGGGAAGGAGAGGAAGAAGAGAAGGGGCUGCGGCUGCGGCGAUGGCAGCUGCAGUUGGAAGAGAAGAAGGAGAGGAAGAUGAGCAGGGGAGGAAGAAAAGGCUGUGGCCGUGGCUGAGGCUGCGACUGCAGCAUGCAGCUGGGAAAGAAGAGAAGGAAAGGAAGAAGAAGAGAAAGGAAGAAGGGAAGGAGAGGAAGAAGAGAAGGGGCUACGGCUGCGGCGAUGGCAGCUGCAGUUGGAAGAGAAGAAGGAGAGGAAGAUGAGCAGGGGAGGAAGAAGAGGCUGCGAGUGUGGUGGCUGCAGCCGUGGCUGCGACUCCGGCUGCGGCUGCAACGUUGGCUGCGGUAGCUGCGGCAGCGGUGGUGGCUGCAGUAGCUGCAGUAGCUGCUUUUGGGAAAGAGAAAGAGUAGGAACGAGAGAAGGGAAGAAGGAAAUAGUGCAGUGGAAGGGGGCUGCGGUUGUGACCGCAGUUGCGGUCGUGGCUGCGAUUGUGGCAGCGGCAGCGGCGGCGGCUAUGGCAGCUGCGUUUGGGAAAGAAAAAGAAGGAAUGAGAGUAAGAGAGAGCAGGUGACUGUGCCUCGAUGUUCGACACGUGAUGUAGUUGCGAAGAAAGGAAGAAAACGGGAGCACAAAACGAAACAAAGAGAGGACACGGAGAAAAAGUAGAAGGAUUUGAGCUGGCACCUUCUUUGGAUCUUCGGAUCGAAAUCAUUGAAAGGUCAGCUUGUCACUCUUCGAGAUGUUUGAUUUGGGCUGAGGCAGUGGAUAGCUAUUCAGAAUAAUGGGCAAGUCUGGUUGGUUAUUACGAUAUUGUUGUAUAAGUAUGUCUUGUAUGUAAUGAAAUGUUGUCGAUGAACCGAAAUGGAUAUACUGUGUCAGAGUGUUAGGAGAUCUCUCUUAUUUGGAAUUUCAGAAUGUUAAGUCUAAUUUAUGGUGAUAUGAACUUGUGGUGAAUAGUUGGAGUUCUGAUUGUAUAAUUUAUUUAGCUUGUGGAUUUAUAAAUGUUGUUCUUGUUUGUCAA
Musa acuminata AAA Group (dessert banana) is the source of this 1451-nucleotide long non-coding RNA. RefSeq lists it as uncharacterized. NCBI's taxonomy places the organism in Eukaryota, Viridiplantae, Streptophyta, Magnoliopsida, Zingiberales, Musaceae. The transcript has 2 exons. The record is from RefSeq and is a predicted model, not a curated record.